UUUCAAAUUAGUUUUUUAACUGUUUAUUACAUAGAUUAGUGUUUUAAAAUGAUAAAUAAUGUCAUGUUUUGUAUAUUAGCCAGGAUUUUGAUAUCUCAGUCUCUAUAUCCUAAGAAGGCAAUAUAUCUUAUCUUUCUUUAUUUACUCAAAUCUUCGUCUUGCCUGAGGCAAAUCGAGAUUUCGGUCCCUCGUCUUUACCACCCACCA
Molecule: long non-coding RNA, 207 nt
Filed under: Elaeis guineensis (African oil palm)
Lineage: Eukaryota; Viridiplantae; Streptophyta; Magnoliopsida; Arecales; Arecaceae
Description: long non-coding RNA (EGUI_LNC076269)
Source: RNAcentral